Long non-coding RNA from Pezoporus flaviventris, 789 nucleotides. RefSeq lists it as uncharacterized. NCBI's taxonomy places the organism in Eukaryota, Metazoa, Chordata, Aves, Psittaciformes, Psittacidae. The record is from RefSeq and is a predicted model, not a curated record. The transcript has 2 exons.
AGUUAGUUAACUUGGUCAGUUAGUUUAGUAAACUAACUUUAAUUUCAAAACCCUAACUUCAUGUUCAUGGAAUUAAGGUUCACAUGGUUAUUUCAGGAAGACUGCCUCCCUCAGGUGAGGAAUCUUUCAGUAUUGAUUUUGGGGUUCUAAAGGUAGAAUUUGUUUUGUAUCAUGCUUUGCUUUGGUUCUGUCUUGUACCCUCUCAGCUGCAAUUCUGUUCUGGACUUCCUUCCAUUCUGAGGGGCUUGGCCACUGCAAAUGUUGUACUUUUUUUGGAUGUAAAUACAUGGAUUGUCUACCCGUAGUAUCAUGUGUUGAAGACACCUCUGUGCGUAGCAGUGAGUCGCGAAGUGCGCUUGGAGGUCCAGUGCUCGAAGCAGAUACUGCACUUGUGUGGGGGUCUUGCAUUGUAGCUGUGAGGAGCAUGCUUGGUUUUAGACUGGCUUGUAAAGCCAUGCUGUUAAGUUCUUUACAUUCAAGAGCUUGGUAGGCCUAGAACAGAAAUAAUGUAAUAUGUCAUUGAUUUAGAGAUGUUGUUCAACUCCAGGAAGAGGACAACAUUUGUGGGACUUCAGUAGUGAAACAGUUAAGGGAAAUUUGUUUUCUUUGUAGCCCAUAUGGCUGUUCUCCAGGUCUGAUCAGAGAGCAAGUCCUAGUGGGGAUCUAUUUAGAAGACUGCAGCUAUUAUGUUAGGAAAAGUAGAGAAUUAGAGCCUUUUUGCCUUUCAAGAUGUCAAAAGGUACUUUGUUACUAAAAGCAAUAAAAUUGCUUUAAUGCCUUUUUAAUUAA